RNAcentral lists this ribosomal RNA (1468 nucleotides) under uncultured Orientia sp. Its description in RNAcentral is "bacterial SSU rRNA". It matches the Rfam family "Bacterial small subunit ribosomal RNA". Lineage: Bacteria; Pseudomonadati; Pseudomonadota; Alphaproteobacteria; Rickettsiales; Rickettsiaceae. The record is from RNAcentral.
GAGAUUUGAUCAUGGCGUCAGUAACGAACGCAUGGCGGGUAUGCUUUACACAUGCAAGUUCGAACGGAUUUAUUUAAAGCUUGCUUUAAAUAAAUUAGUGGCAAACGGGUGAGUAACACGUGGGAAUCUACCCAUCANUACAGAAUAACCUUUGGAAACAAAGGCUAAUACUGUAUAUUCUCGAAAGAGGAAAGAUUUAUCGCUGAUGGAUGAGCCCGCGCCUGAUUANGUAGUUGGUGAGGUAAUGGCUCACCAAGCCAACGAUCAGUANCUGGUCUGAGAGGGUGAUCAGCCACACUGGGACUGAGACACGGCCCAGACUUCUACGGGAGGCAGCANUGGGGAAUAUUGGACAAUGGGCGAAAGCCUGAUCCAGCAAUACCGCGUGAAUGAUGAANGCCUUANGGUUGUAAAGUUCUUUUAGCANGGAAGAUAAUGACGGUACCUGCAGAAAAAGCCCCGGCUAACUCCGUGCCANCAGCCGCGGUAAGACGGAGGGGGCUAGCGUUGUUCGGAAUUACUGGGCGUAAAGAGCGCGUAAGCGGUAUAAUAAGUUGGGAGUGAAAUCCCGGGGCUUAACCUCGGAAUUGCUUCCAAAACUGUUAUACUAGAGUAUAGUAGGGGAUGACGGAAUUCCUAGUGGAUAANUGAAAUGANUANAUAUUAGGAGGAACACCACUGGCGAANGCGGUCAUCUGGGCUAUAACUGACGCUGAGGCGCNAAAGCGUGNGGAGCAAACAGGAUUANAUACCCUGNUAGUCCACGCUGUANACGAUGANUGCNAGAUAUCCCCAAGUUUUUCUUUCGGUUUCGCAGCUAACGCAUUAAGCACUCCGCCUGGGGAGUACGAUCGCAAGAUUAAAACUCAAAGGAAUUGACGGGGGCUCGCACAAGCGGUGGAGCAUGCGGUUUAAUUCGAUGCUACGCGAAAANCCUUACCAACCCUUGACAUGGCGGUCGCGGACCUUGGAGACAGGGUUCUUCAGUUCGGCUGGACCGCACACAGGUGUUGCAUGGCUGUCGUCAGCUCGUGUCGUGAGAUAUUGGGUUAAGUCCCGCAACGAGCGCAACCCUUAUCCUUAUUUGCCAGCGGGUAAUGCCGGGGACUAUAGGGAAACUGCCGGUGAUAAGCCGGAGGAAGGUGGGGAUGAAGUCAAGUCAUCAUGGCCCUUACGGGUUGGGCUACACGCGUGCUACAAUGGUAACUACAGAGGGAAGCAAUACGGUGACGUGGAGCAAAUCCCUAAAAGUUAUCUCAGUUCGGAUUGUUCUCUGCAACUCGAGAACCUGAAGUUGAAAUCGCUAGUAAUCGCGGAUCAGCAUGCCGCGGUGAAUACGUUCUCGGGCCUUGUACACANUNCCCGUCACACCAUGGGAGUUGGUUUUACCCGAAGCUGGUGAGCUAACGUAAGAGGCAGCCAACCACGGUACAAUUAGCGAGCUGGGGUGAAGUCGUAACAAGGUAGC